AAAUAUAAAGUGGCACUUUAGGGACGCCUGGGUGGCUCAGCAGUUGAGCAUCUGCCUUCUCAGCUCAGGAUGUGAUCCCAGAAUUUUGGAAUUGAGUCCUGCAUUGGGCUCCUGCAUGGAGCCUGCUUCUCCUCCCUGUGCCUAUGUCUCUGCGUCUCUCUGUGUCUCUCAUAAUAAAUAAAUAAAAUAUUUUUAAAUAAAUAAAUAAAUAAAUAAAUAAAUAAAUAAUAAAGUGGCACUUUAGGUGUAUGGUAGGGAGAGGAUGUAGAACCCUGGGAAAGACACUCUGCUUCUUGGCAUUUAUCCCCAAUAGUAGGCCAUUGUAGGCUUUAGAAAUACUUGCUGGUUCUUCUUGCUUGUUGUAGGAAGCCCCAGUUCUACAGUCCAAGUGUUGGUCUCAUGUAUACUCUAAGAAAAGGUAUUUUUCUGGAGCCAGCUGCUCUCCAAGAAGAUAAGUUAACAGUUGCCAGUUAUGGCCAAUGUGGAAUACUUCUGUCUUAUACUUUUGGAUGUCACCAGAGUGAAUUUAUGUUACUUCUGCCAUGUGUCUGGAAGCACUAGUCACCUGGGAUCAUGUCAAUCCAAUUUUGGAGGCUGAAUAAUUAAAGCUGAGUUGCUCUCCCUCUAAAGGCCUAUUUACUUCUGGUUCAACCUUAACUCCCAGUGUGGAGGCAUGUCUUGAGGUCUCAAUCUAAAGGGAGGAGGGUUUAUCAAGACUCUCUCUUGUUCUGUUCCUAUAUUAUCAGUUCUGUUCUUCAUUGGUUCACUGUGCAUUUUCAAAUUUUAUUAUCUCAUUCAUUUAUCUCUUUGGGGUUUCUGUCCUUUUUCAUAAAGACCAUCUCUUUUAUUCUACUGAGGAUACCAAAAUGUUUCCUGAAAUUUUCUUUUGGAGGCUGCACUACAUUAUUUCUUUCUUUCUUUGUAAAGAUCUUAUGUAUUUAUUUG
RNAcentral lists this long non-coding RNA (945 nucleotides) under Vulpes vulpes (red fox). RNAcentral's name for it is "lncRNA (ENSVVUG00000004047.1)". The record is from RNAcentral. Lineage: Eukaryota; Metazoa; Chordata; Mammalia; Carnivora; Canidae.